RNAcentral lists this ribosomal RNA (468 nucleotides) under Epinephelus fuscoguttatus (brown-marbled grouper). RNAcentral describes it as "partial 16S ribosomal RNA". It matches the Rfam family "Bacterial large subunit ribosomal RNA", at positions 1846 to 2513 of the family's 2925-position model. Lineage: Eukaryota; Metazoa; Chordata; Actinopteri; Perciformes; Serranidae. The record is from RNAcentral.
UAAGAGGUCCCGCCUGCCCUGUGACUAUAUGUUUAACGGCCGCGGUAUUUUGACCGUGCGAAGGUAGCGCAAUCACUUGUCUUUUAAAUGGGGACCUGUAUGAAUGGCAUAACGAGGGCUUAACUGUCUCCUCUUUCAAGUCAAUGAAAUUGAUCUCCCCGUGCAGAAGCGAGGAUAGAUACAUAAGACGAGAAGACCCUAUGGAGCUUUAGACACUAAAGCAGAUCAGUAUUAAUACCCUGAACAUAGGCUACGAAUAAACUGACCCCUGCCCUAAUGUCUUUGGUUGGGGCGACCGCGGAGAAAAAUAAAACCCCCGCAAGGACUAAAUGUACUACAUUCACAAACAAGAGCGACAGCUCUAACUAACAGAACUUCUGACCAAUAAGAUCCGGCAAUGCCGAUCAAUGAACCGAGUUACCCUAGGGAUAACAGCGCAAUCUCCUCUUAGAGCCCAUAUCGACGAGG